This 446-nucleotide ribosomal RNA is filed under the name uncultured bacterium. RNAcentral describes it as "partial 16S ribosomal RNA". It matches the Rfam family "Bacterial small subunit ribosomal RNA", at positions 338 to 795 of the family's 1533-position model. The record is from RNAcentral.
CCUACGGGUGGCAGCAGUCGAGAAUCAUUCACAAUGGGGGAAACCCUGAUGGUGCGACGCCGCGUGGGGGAAUGAAGGUCUUCGGGUUGUAAACCCCUGUCAUGUGGGAGCAAAUUCAAAAGAUAGUACCACAAGAGGAAGAGACGGCUAACUCUGUGCCAGCAGCCGCGGUAAUACAGAGGUCUCAAGCGUUGUUCGGAAUCACUGGGCGUAAAGGGUGCGUAGGCUGUUUCGUAAGUCGUGUGUGAAAGGCGCGGGCUCAACCCGCGGACGGCACAUGAUACUGCGAGACUAGAGUAAUGGAGGGGGAACCGGAAUUCUCGGUGUAGCAGUGAAAUGCGUAGAUAUCGAGAGGAACACUCGUGGCGAAGGCGGGUUCCUGGACAUUAACUGACGCUGAGGCACGAAGGCCAGGGGAGCGAAAGGGAUUAGAUACCCUGGUAGUC